GAUGAACGCUAGCGGGAGGCCUAACACAUGCAAGCCGAGCGGUAGAGUCUCUUCGGAGACUUGAGAGCGGCGCACGGGUGCGGAACACGUGUGCAACCUGCCUUUAUCUGGGGGAUAGCCUUGCGAAGGGAAGAUUAAUACCCCAUAAUAUACUGGAUGGCAUCAUCUGGUAUUGAAAACUCCGGUGGAUAGAGAUGGGCACGCGCAAGAUUAGAUAGUUGGUGAGGUAACGGCUCACCAAGUCAGCGAUCUUUAGGGGGCCUGAGAGGGUGAUCCCCCACACUGGUACUGAGACACGGACCAGACUCCUCCGGGAGGCAGCAGUGAGGAAUAUUGGACGAUGGGUGAGAGCCUGAUCCAGCCAUCCCGCGUGAAGGACGACGGCCCUAUGGGUUGUAAACUUCUUUUGUAUAGGGAUAAACCUAGAUACGUGUAUCUAGCUGAAGGUACCAUACGAAUAAGCACCGGCUAACUCCGUG
RNAcentral lists this ribosomal RNA (479 nucleotides) under uncultured bacterium. RNAcentral's name for it is "partial 16S ribosomal RNA". It matches the Rfam family "Bacterial small subunit ribosomal RNA", at positions 28 to 507 of the family's 1533-position model. The record is from RNAcentral.